This 260-nucleotide ribosomal RNA is filed under the name uncultured bacterium. RNAcentral's name for it is "partial 16S ribosomal RNA". It matches the Rfam family "Bacterial small subunit ribosomal RNA", at positions 80 to 354 of the family's 1533-position model. The record is from RNAcentral.
CUUAAUAAUUCUCUAGUGGCGCACGGGUGAGUAACACGUGAGUAACCUGCCCCCGAGAGCGGGAUAGCCCUGGGAAACUGGGAUUAAUACCGCAUAGUAUCGAAAGAUUAAAGCAGCAAUGCGCUUGGGGAUGGGCUCGCGGCCUAUUAGUUAGUUGGUGAGGUAACGGCUCACCAAGGCGAUGACGGGUAGCCGGUCUGAGAGGAUGUCCGGCCACACUGGAACUGAGACACGGUCCAGACACCUACGGGAGGCAGCAG